UGCGGAAGGAUCAUUACUGAGUGAGGGCCCUCUGGGUCCAACCUCCCACCCGUGUUUAUUGUACCUUGUUGCUUCGGCGGGCCCGCCUUUAUGGCCGCCGGGGGGCUUACGCUCCCGGGCCCGCGCCCGCCGAAGACACCCUCGAACUCUGUCUGAAGAUUGUAGUCUGAGUGAAAAUAUAAAUUAUUUAAAACUUUCAACAACGGAUCUCUUGGUUCCGGCAUCGAUGAAGAACGCAGCGAAAUGCGAUACGUAAUGUGAAUUGCAGAAUUCAGUGAAUCAUCGAGUCUUUGAACGCACAUUGCGCCCCCUGGUAUUCCGGGGGGCAUGCCUGUCCGAGCGUCAUUGCUGCCCUCAAGCACGGCUUGUGUGUUGGGCCCCGUCCUCCGAUCCCGGGGGACGGGCCCGAAAGGCAGCGGCGGCACCGCGUCCGGUCCUCGAGCGUAUGGGGCUUUGUCACCCGCUCUGUAGGCCCGGCCGGCGCUUGCCGAUCAACCAAAAUUUUUCCAGGUGACCUCGGAUCAGGUAGGGAUACCCGCUGAACUUAAGCAUAUC
This 555-nucleotide ribosomal RNA is filed under the name Penicillium sp. GBPI_P228. Its description in RNAcentral is "eukaryotic LSU rRNA". The stretch from base 192 to 345 matches the Rfam family "5.8S ribosomal RNA". The record is from RNAcentral. Lineage: Eukaryota; Fungi; Ascomycota; Eurotiomycetes; Eurotiales; Aspergillaceae.